Molecule: transfer RNA, 89 nt
Filed under: Mycolicibacterium mageritense
Lineage: Bacteria; Bacillati; Actinomycetota; Actinomycetes; Mycobacteriales; Mycobacteriaceae
Description: tRNA-Thr
Source: RNAcentral
GGUUACUGGGUCAGGAUGCGGGGCCCGUCGUCGGUGACGGCGACGGUGUGUUCCCAGUGCGCCGCGCGGGUUCCGUCGGCGGUGACGAC